CCCUUAGAUGUCCUGGGCCGCACGCGCGCUACACUGACGGAGGCAGCGAGCGUGUCCUUCGCCGGCAGGUGCGGGCAAUCUUGCGAGUCUCCGUCGUGCUGGGGAUAGAUGGUUGCAAUUGUCGAUCUUGAACGAGGAAUUCCUAGUAAGCGCGAGUCAUCAGCUCGCGCUGAUUACGUCCCUGCCCUUUGUACACACCGCCCGUCGCUACUACAGAGUGCCCGUGUCCAAGAAACGGUCGGACCUGUGCGGCCUCUCCGGGCGACCGGAGGGCCGUUACGGGGAAGACCCUUUAUUUGACGCGGGUCGAUGAAGUAAAAGUCGUAACA
RNAcentral lists this ribosomal RNA (329 nucleotides) under uncultured eukaryote. RNAcentral's name for it is "partial 18S ribosomal RNA". It matches the Rfam family "Eukaryotic small subunit ribosomal RNA", at positions 1470 to 1796 of the family's 1831-position model. The record is from RNAcentral.